Molecule: ribosomal RNA, 557 nt
Filed under: uncultured bacterium
Lineage: Bacteria
Description: partial 16S ribosomal RNA
Rfam family: Bacterial small subunit ribosomal RNA
Source: RNAcentral
UGGGGAAUUUGGACAAUGGGCGAAANCCUGAUCCAGCAAUGCCGCGUGUGUGAAGAAGGCCUUCGGGUUGUAAAGCACUUUUGUCCGGAAAGAAAUCCUUGGCUCUAAUACAGUCGGGGGGAUGACGGUACCGGAAGAAUAAGCACCGGCUAACUACGUGCCAGCAGCCGCGGUAAUACGUAGGGUGCAAGCGUUAAUCGGAAUUACUGGGCGUAAAGCGUGCGCAGGCGGUUUGCUAAGACCGAUGUGAAAUCCCCGGGCUCAACCUGGGAACUGCAUUGGUGACUGGCAGGCUAGAGUAUGGCAGAGGGGGGUAGAAUUCCACGUGUAGCAGUGAAAUGCGUAGAGAUGUGGAGGAAUACCGAUGGCGAAGGCAGCCCCCUGGGCCAAUACUGACGCUCAUGCACGAAAGCGUGGGGAGCAAACAGGAUUAGAUACCCUGGUAGUCCACGCCCUAAACGAUGUCAACUAGUUGUUGGGGAUUCAUUUCCUUAGUAACGUAGCUAACGCGUGAAGUUGACCGCCUGGGGAGUACGGUCGCAAGAUUAAAACUCAAA